Molecule: microRNA precursor, 78 nt
Filed under: Schistosoma mattheei
Lineage: Eukaryota; Metazoa; Platyhelminthes; Trematoda; Strigeidida; Schistosomatidae
Description: mir-3492 microRNA precursor family
Rfam family: mir-3492 microRNA precursor family
Source: Rfam by way of RNAcentral
AGGUUUUUGAAUCCUUGCUGAGAUUUCGUCAGGCAUCAACCCAUUAGAACUGAUCAAACAUCAAAGAUAAGUGAAGUU